This 495-nucleotide ribosomal RNA is filed under the name uncultured bacterium. RNAcentral describes it as "partial 16S ribosomal RNA". It matches the Rfam family "Bacterial small subunit ribosomal RNA", at positions 28 to 505 of the family's 1533-position model. The record is from RNAcentral.
GAUGAACGCUGGCGGCGUGCCUAAUACAUGCAAGUCGAGCGAACAGACGAGGAGCUUGCUCCUCUGACGUUAGCGGCGGACGGGUGAGUAACACGUGGAUAACCUACCUAUAAGACUGGGAUAACUUCGGGAAACCGGAGCUAAUACCGGAUAAUAUAUUGAACCGCAUGGUUCAAUAGUGAAAGACGGUUUUGCUGUCACUUAUAGAUGGAUCCGCGCCGCAUUAGCUAGUUGGUAAGGUAACGGCUUACCAAGGCAACGAUGCGUAGCCGACCUGAGAGGGUGAUCGGCCACACUGGAACUGAGACACGGUCCAGACUCCUACGGGAGGCAGCAGUAGGGAAUCUGCCGCAAUGGGCGAAAGCCUGACGGAGCAACGCCGCGUGAGUGAUGAAGGUCUUCGGAUCGUAAAACUCUGUUAUUAGGGAAGAACAAAUGUGUAAGUAACUAUGCACGUCUUGACGGUACCUAAUCAGAAAGCCACGGCUAACUACG